RNAcentral lists this ribosomal RNA (360 nucleotides) under Houardiella gracilis. RNAcentral's name for it is "partial large subunit ribosomal RNA". It matches the Rfam family "Eukaryotic large subunit ribosomal RNA", at positions 329 to 633 of the family's 3401-position model. The record is from RNAcentral. Lineage: Eukaryota; Metazoa; Arthropoda; Insecta; Diptera; Cecidomyiidae.
CGAAACCGAUAGCGAACAAGUACCGUGAGGGAAAGUUGAAAAGUACUCUGAAUAGAGAGUUAAAUAGUACGUGAAACCGCUUAGGGGUUAAGCCCGAUGAACCCGAAUAUCUGAUGUGAGAAAUUCAAUACUGUUCAUUUAAUCAAUGCGAUAGUAUGCACUUUUCUCAUAGUAGGACAUUGUAAUCCAUUAAUAUUAUAUCAUUUUCAUAUUAUAUGGAAAUGGUGAUUUAACAUAAGAACAAAAUGUAUAAGUUUAUUCUAUCAGUGAUGUGUUUACAUGUCAUAUGAAUAAGAUCGUUUUGUAUCUGUUUAAAUAGUUGAUGGAUUUUAAACUGAAUCAUGCUUGCAAUUUAAUUUG